AGCCUGACGUAGGGCUUGAAUCCACGAGCUGUGAGAUCUUGACUUGAGCCGAAGUCCUAGGCCCAACCAACGAGCCACGCAGGCACCCUGACUGUCUAAUUUUGAUCUCUAGUUCCAGCUUGGUUAUUAGUUUCCAGACUUCUCUGUUACCUGACCUCUAACUUUUGUCCAAGUCACACCUUUGGUUAUCUGAAUUUGGUUCCACUCUUAAGUCUUCAGUCUCAACUGCUGAAAGUUUUGAAAUAACAAAACUAUUGGCAAAUUCAUAUUUAAUGUAUGUGUGAGUUUUGGUAUGUAUAUGUGAUUAUACCACAAUUUAACAAAAUGUAGAUAUUACAAAGCUUCCUAAAUUGCCUCCAAAAGUAACUACCAUUUAAAUUAAGAAAAAAAAAACAUGAGUACUUUUCUACCAUGCCCUCCUCAAUGUGGCUUUCAAAAACUUAAUAAAUUCUUUAAAAACAUCAGUAUUGCAGAAAUCAAAGAUUAUGCAUUUCCAACUGCUUGCGUUGCCUCUAAGCCAAGACCACAGAGUUCUGUAUCUCCUUUUUCAAGUUAGAGAUUAUUAAAAUAUAUUCAUCUUUGUUAUAUUAUAUCCACCACCGCCUGAGAAGUAAUAAAACUACUGAAUUAAAAGUAUCAUUAGGUAGAGGGGAAAAAAGUAGGAAAGAAAAAAGGAAUGGAGGUAUUAUAUUUAUUCUCGGGAAACUGAUAUAUUAAAGAAAUUACAUUUUUAAUGUAAUUUUUACCUUGAUAAGCCUAUUUACCCUCUUUAAAAUAAGGGGAUUAACUGAGCUUAGUUUUCUGGAGUCUGACAGUGUUCUUCUUAGACAACUUAUUAAUAAUUCCUAUCCUUAAAACAUUUUUCAACCCUGUAAAAAUAUAUGGGGACAAGAUGAUUUUAUAUAAUAUGUUUCCUUUUUGGAAUGUUGAUAAUACAUUCUAGGGAACUGAUGAGUCAUAAAGGUACAGGUGUGUGACAUUUAAUAACAGUUUAACUUCAUCAUGUAUAGUUAGCACUCACUACAAAUACAUAAGGGAAAAAGCCAUAGUAGAGAGCCUUAGCACAGGGAAGAGAAAUACUGACUAGUGGCUAAUGAUGAAUCUGUUAUAAAAGCUACAUUACUAUGAAGUCCACUCAGUAAAGAAGUUAUGCUCCAGGACAGAACAAACUCCACAAAUAAAGGAAGAGAAGAGGCCUCAUCAAAGAAGGUGUUAUAUUCGAGGAGGAGCCAAGAUGGCAGAACAGCCUGGAAGUUUUUUGUGUGUGUCAC
This is a long non-coding RNA of Felis catus (domestic cat), 1271 nucleotides long. RefSeq lists it as uncharacterized. The record is from RefSeq and is a predicted model, not a curated record. Lineage: Eukaryota; Metazoa; Chordata; Mammalia; Carnivora; Felidae. The transcript is spliced from 3 exons.